RNAcentral lists this transfer RNA (63 nucleotides) under Rattus norvegicus (Norway rat). It matches the Rfam family "tRNA". Rfam says of the family: Transfer RNA (tRNA) molecules are approximately 80 nucleotides in length. Lineage: Eukaryota; Metazoa; Chordata; Mammalia; Rodentia; Muridae. The record is from Rfam by way of RNAcentral.
GGGGAUUUAGCUCAGUGGUAGAGCGCUUGCCUAGCAAACGCAGGGCCCUGGGUUCAGUCCCCA